RNAcentral lists this ribosomal RNA (277 nucleotides) under uncultured bacterium. Its description in RNAcentral is "partial 16S ribosomal RNA". It matches the Rfam family "Bacterial small subunit ribosomal RNA", at positions 29 to 289 of the family's 1533-position model. The record is from RNAcentral.
AACGAACGCUGGCGGCGUGCCUAAUACAUGCAAGUCGAACGAGAAAGUGGCUUCGGCCAUUAGUAAAGUGGCAGACGGGUGAGUAAUACAUAGGUAACCUACCUCCGAGAUGGGGACAACCUUCCGAAAGGAGGGCUAAUACCGAAUGAGACCACAGUUACUUCGGUAACUGGGGUCAAAGGUGGCCUCUACUUGUAAGCUAUCGCUUGGAGAUGGGCUUAUGCACCAUUAGCUUGUUGGCGAGGUAACGGCUCACCAAGGCUGUGAUGGUUAGCUG